ACUGCUCUUCUUAAUUUGCCUACCAGAUUUUUAGAAACUUCAGUAUAUUCAAACAAAAUUGUCUCAACUGCAUUGUCUUUGUUUCUGAUUUGGUACAUGAUUUUAAGAAGAUAAUUGUUUGAAAGGACUAGUUUGGCGCUAAAUUAUUUGGUACCAUCAUUCUUGGAAGAAUUGAAAUUGUAGUGCAAAAGUAAAAUGUUAAAAACAAUUUAUCACGAUUUCAAUCCAUCGAUCAGCCUUCUCAUGCCAGUCUAUCCUAGGUCAAAGCCGCUCAGGCUGUUUAUCUCCUUGGAGACUAUGAAACGACUGUUCCUGACAGAAAACCCCGAUUAGCAGCAUAACUUUCAACAUAGUUUUUUCAAAAAAAAAGUUUCAAUUCCAAUUACGCCCGUCCAAUCCUUGUGUGCCAGUGUCCCUUGGUGGGACAAGUUUCUGAUCCUAACAUAAGAUUGACAAGUGUUCGAUUAGAAAGACAGCGUUAUGUGCAACCAAAGUGUUCUAAAUUUCCUCAAGCAACUUGAUUGGUAUCCUUCUAAAGAAACAAAAUUAACCUGCAUUUGUGGUUGGAGUCUGGCGGCAAACAUCAGUCUUUCAGUAGCUCUCCGAGACCACGCUGUUAGAGCGCCACACUGCACUUCAGCUAGGACCGAUCUUGGUAAGAGGCUGAAACUCAGUUUGCUCAUGUUUUUCCACCACUCCCAGCGGCAAAUCAAGAAUGUACCCUUUGCAAUUGUAUGGGCUCUUUUGAACUUUGUGCGCUCAGAUGUCGAGAACGAGGUGAAAUGUAACAGUUGUAGCAAACGCGAGUCAUUUGAUGCUGUUUUUUGUCACGAUAUUUUGCUUGCAUCCCACGAGAUAUGUUUUCGUCAACUAGGAAUACAGAAUUCAUUUAUUACUGAAUUUAAAGAGGAGCUUCUGAGUGAACGAACAAUGCUCUCCUGGUGUAGCAAAAUGAGUAGCAAGAUGCCAGGUGAGCUGCAAGUGACGAGACCCAUCUAUCAUAACUCGUACCGCCUAGAUCCUGAUUUCGAGUUCCCAAACAUCGAAAACUACCCUGUUGAGGCUCCAAUUGGAAAUGCCAAUGUGAACAUAACCUACCAUGAUGCUCUAAAUCGGCAAGUUAAUGAACGGGUCUUUUUUGAGAAGGCACUGAGAGAAAUUGAAGACCAUCCGAUAAGGAGCCGAUCUGGCUAGAACUCAGCAACUUUCUCUGAAGAUGAUACGACAGAGGAUGACGAGACAUUACCACAUGUCCCGGACGAAAUAGAGGUGGAGACCGUGUAGCCGUUCCAGGCCUCGUUCGAGGAGUCGGUGGUCUUGAGGAGUGUCUCUGACUUCGAGGAGUUCUCGAGCAGUGACGAGGAAUAGAACACUACAUUGGCCGCUAUUGCGAUCGGGCACAUGCGCGGGUACGUUAUGGUCUGGAUCGGCCAUAUAGACUCUAGUGACGACAAUUGGGCAAGCGGGCGCAGUCGCGGAAGAGCAGCGCCAUUGAGUUUGGCAACGUCACUCGCCGGGACUAAUCUUCCAGGCCGCGGUCGAGCAAAAGAAACGCUGAGUCAUCCCAGCCUGGGGUCGGACCCUCAAAAGGUCCGAAAGGCUCAAAAUCUCAAAAUAUUAUACUAAAAUAUUUUGACUUAUUUUUUUUUAGCUGUCACUCAUAAGCGCUCAUCAGUGCAGUCACUCAUCAGUGCUCUUCCCUCGCUCUGAAUUUUCAAUCCUCUCUACCCUCAUCUAGUGUUGACGAGUCCCAAAGGUUCAAAAUCUCAAAUUAUAUUACUAAAAUAUUUUAUGACUAGUUUAUUGGAAAACUGUUUUUUUUUGUGCAAAUGCCGUCUCAGUAUCUUGGUGCUACACUAUGCCUACCCACAAUAUGCCUACCCUCACUUAUCAGUAAAGGUUCAAACUCUCAAAUCUCAAAAUAGUAAAAUAUUUUGUGACUAGUUUAUUAGAAAACUGUUUUUUUUUUCAGUGCAAAUCGCCGUCUCAGUAUUUUAGUACUACAUGCAAAUGCUGUCAGUCAGCUCCCACUCUACGACCCUCAUAACACACUUUUUAUCAGAGACAGAAAGCCAGUCAUCAGCCAUCUAGUAAUUUUUUCAAUUCAAACUAAUUUUACCAAUUAUUUUAUGACUAGGUUUUUAUUAGAAAACUGUUUUUUUUUAGUGCAAAUGCUGCCAGUCAGCUCCCUCUCUACCUCAUAGUACAGUAUUUUGUCAGAGUCACAAAGGCAUUCAUCAGCCAUCUAAGUGCAAAUGCAGUUAGCCUGAUUCCGCCUCAGUACUUCAAUUAGGUCUCGCCUCAGUCAGAUCCCGCUUCUCUAGCUCAGUAAACAGUGCCAUUUUCCAGUCAUACAGUGUCUAUUUUUUUAGCUGUCACUCAUAAGCGCUCAUCAGUGCAGUCACUCAUCAGUGCUCUUCCCUCGCUCUGAAUUUUCAAUCCUCUCUACCCUCAUCUAGUGUUGACGAGUCCCAAAGGUUCAAAAUCUCAAAUUAUUUUACUAAAAUAUUUUAUGACUAGUUUAUUGGAAAACUGUUUUUUUUUGUGCAAAUGCCGUCUCAGUAUCUUGGUGCUACACUAUGCCUACCCACAAUAUGCCUACCCUCACUUAUCAGUAAAGGUUCAAACUCUCAAAUCUCAAAAUAGUCAAAUAUUUUAUGACUAGUUUAUUAGAAAACUGUUUUUUUUUCAGUGCAAAUCGCCGUCUCAGUAUUUUAGUACUACAUGCAAAUGCUGUCAGUCAGCUCCCACUCUACGACCCUCAUAACACACUUUUUUAUCAGAGACAGAAAGCCAGUCAUCAGCCAUCUAUGCAAAUGCUGCCAGUCAGCUCCCUCUCUACCUCAUAGUACAGUAUUUUAUCAGAGUCACAAAGGCAUUCAUCAG
Symsagittifera roscoffensis is the source of this 2886-nucleotide long non-coding RNA. RefSeq lists it as uncharacterized. The record is from RefSeq and is a predicted model, not a curated record. The transcript has 4 exons. Lineage: Eukaryota; Metazoa; Xenacoelomorpha; Acoela; Convolutidae.